AAGUCGUAACAAGGUUUCCGUAGGUGAACCUGCGGAAGGAUCAUUAACACGUGUCCACGUAUCAAACCAAAGCCGAGAACUGUGAACGUAUUUCGGGAUGAACUGAAUGGGCGUUGGCUAAUGCUGACUUCGGACGGCAAUGGAUUUCGCACAUUUCGCUCAAACCGUAACCUAAACCAUUACUUAUUAUUAUUAUCUUGUGUUAAGAUCAUCGUGCUGGUGCUUAGUAAGGGAAGUAGUUUGUUUGGAUGCCCUCUUUCAAUGUUCCGCUGAACCUGUAACAGGGGUAAUGCCGUUCGUUGCAAAACCUUCGCUGUGCUAGUAAUGGUGGCUUAUUACAAACUCUGUACAACUCUUAGCAACGGAUAUCUUGGUUUCC
RNAcentral lists this unclassified non-coding RNA (379 nucleotides) under fungal sp. Its description in RNAcentral is "partial internal transcribed spacer region". The stretch from base 1 to 46 matches the Rfam family "Eukaryotic small subunit ribosomal RNA", at positions 1786 to 1831 of the family's 1831-position model. Lineage: Eukaryota; Fungi. The record is from RNAcentral.